GUUAAUGUAGCUUAAUUUAUAAAGCGAAGCACUGAAAAUGCUUAGAUGAGAACUUAUAAUACUCCAUAAACA
This 72-nucleotide transfer RNA is filed under the name Chalinolobus tuberculatus (New Zealand long-tailed bat). RNAcentral describes it as "tRNA-Phe". It matches the Rfam family "tRNA". From Rfam's summary of the family: Transfer RNA (tRNA) molecules are approximately 80 nucleotides in length. Lineage: Eukaryota; Metazoa; Chordata; Mammalia; Chiroptera; Vespertilionidae. The record is from RNAcentral.